Molecule: long non-coding RNA, 5649 nt
Filed under: Vigna radiata
Lineage: Eukaryota; Viridiplantae; Streptophyta; Magnoliopsida; Fabales; Fabaceae
Description: long non-coding RNA (VRAD_LNC014064)
Source: RNAcentral
GACGCUAUUAGAAACCCUAAUACUAUUUCGUAUAGUUAUGUAAUUUUAUUUUAUCUUUUUUUAUUUUAUCUAUAUUUUUCAUUUUCUCUUAUAUUUUAUCUCUAUGCGGUAAACAAACAAAUAUAAUGAUAAUAAAGACUAAAGAAAAAAACAAAUCAAACAAACGCAUAAAAUAAAACAAAAUAAAAAGCAAAGACAUGGAAUAAAACAAACAAAAUCAACUCAGUGAGAAAGGAACAUAUAUAAAACAUGAAAUAAAACAAACAAAAUAAACUCAGUGAGUAAGGAACAGAUAUAGAAACCAGAGAUGCGCGCCACACAAAGCUCUUUUCCUCUGACAACACCAAUCUUUGCUGAUAUGUAUUGAUGGAAGAUUGCAGUAAAGUUGAAGAUAAGUGNGACAGUCAUCAAAUCAAAUCNGAAUUGCGAACCUCCCAAGCAAAAUAGUGAUAAAAGUAAAUCAUUCUCNCNGAUAGACAAUAGCCUUGACAGUGGCCUCCAAAAGAAAGAAAACNAAUUUCUUCCAACAAAGGAAAUGAAUAAAAAUUCACUCCUCGUAACCCGCGUGCCUGAUGGCUCAAAGUUNAAUGAUAAUUAAAUGUACGUGNUGCACCCCUUCCAGUAAUGAUGNAGCAUACACCACACUUGAAUGCAAUUUCAAAUUAAAGGAAACCUUUGGCCAAAUGCUCAUUCNUAGAAAAUUGAAAANGUUCCUUGUGAAAUGAAGUCAACACAACCUCUUUGNAGCAGAAACGAAUGAGCCAAACUAGAAGGGAAAUGGAUUGAGAUUCCCAAAAAAUCAUCAAGUGNCGNCACNGUAAGUCGCUGCUUUCUCCAAGUAAAGGAGAAUGAAGAUGAAUCACAUAUUUCUCCUCCUUGUAACAUCAGCNGCUGCAUCAACAAGCACCAAAUACUGAACCUUAUUCAGCUUAAGGCUCUUCCCUUUCGACGACCACCACAUCUACACCUCGUGAAAGAGCAUUCNNNUGAGAGAGCACCGGACAAGCCAAUGACCUGGUUGUUGAGCCAGAUCCAGGCGACUGUGNAAAUGGCGAGAGGAGGGUAAACUACCAGUCCAGUUGUUGUAGAGAGGGAAAUUUNUCAAAAGAUGUCGGCUAAGGCAUCGGAAAGAGAAACAGUAGAGAGGUCAAGGUCGAUUAGGUUGGUGGAGGAGGUNAGAUCCGUGGGGAAAGUCCAGGGUGAGAGGAAACGGUUGGAGGUCAGGCUGAGGGUUUGGCGAGGGUUCAGGGCGGCGAAAGGAACAGCUGAAAAGUUGUUGCGNUUGUGGUAGGNCGUCCCGAGGAAGGAGAGUGGAAGAGUGAUGUCUUUUGGCUGAAGGGACCAAGAAAAUCAAAGGAUGUUUGUGAUGUUUGUUGGUUUGGUUAUCAGUGAGUGAGUGAGUGGUGGCGUUGUGUUCAUAACACGGAGGGAGUGAGGCAGCUGGAGAGAAUGCUGGGGACGUUGGGGAGAGAGUCCUCCAAUUAGGGUUCCCUUAGGGUUUUUGAGGUAGGGCAUUGGAUGAGAGGUUUUUACCUUGCGGGUUGGGCCUGAUGGAGGAGCCCAAAAUGUAAAAGUUCAACACGUUUUUUUUUAUUCCUUUUUUUUUCUUUUUUUCAAAAAGAAUAUAGAAAAUAAAACUAAAUAAGAUAAAUAAUAAAAAAAACUAAAUCCAAAUAAACUAAAAAUUAAAAAUAACAAAACCAAAAUAAAAUAAAAAAUAAAAAUAAAAUAAAAAAUAAAAACAAAAAAAAUAAAAUAAAAUAAGACAAAAACAAAAAUAAGUCUUAUUAUUUAGUCAUUCGGACGAAAUUGGGUGUUGACAGCUGCCCCUCUUUACUUAGAAUUACGGGAUAAUAUCAAAAUUUGAUAUUUUCGUAUUAUCUGAGUAAAACUAAGUAAAGAUAGAAACACUAAUUUCGUUCGGGUUUCAAAAAAGAAGGAAAGUGAACAAAAAUGAAAUAAGUCAUGACCAAAUGACCAACGCCUAGCAGAGGGCCAAAGUGACAGAACAAAGAUUUAAAUUCGACCAUUGCCAAGCAGAGGGCCGACAGCAAAAAACUAAAACUUGGAUUUGACCAUUGCCUCGCAGAGGGUCAAUAUCGCAGCAGAAAACUAAAGGUGCCAGAUAAAUCUGGGCUUAAAAACGUUAGACUGAAACUGUGCUUAAGAGGAAAAAGGUGUACACAUCUCGUGGAGGGUGUAACAGCCUUGUGAAUGAAUGAUAUGAGGUGUACUAACCUCGUGGAGGGUGUACAAACCCUAUGGAUGAAUGAUAUGAGGUGUACUAACCUCGUGGAGGGUGUACAAACCCUAUGAAUAAAUGAUAUGAGGUGUACGAAUCUCGUGGAGGGUGUACAAACCCUAUGGAUGAAUGAUAUGAGGUGUACUAACCUCGUGGAGGGUGUACCAACCCUACGAAUGAAUGUUGUGAGGUGUACNGGAAGGUGUUAGCACCCCCACAACGCCUGCCCUAAGGCAGUACCUUUAACUAAAUACGCGAAUUUGAUGUGGUUUGCAAAAUGUUUAAUUUCCCCUAAAAAAAUAAAACUCUAAAGAAAACAAAAUAUUUUUUUUGUGUUUUUUGUGCCCGACAAGAAUUGACCUUGCUCCUACAUAUUCUCAAUUGGACUGAGAAAUCAGGGUUACGUAGUUCUUUGAAACUAUUUGAAAAAAAGAUUUCUUUGAGAUAUUGUUUGGAAAAUUUGCUUGAAAAAGAUUGUGGAUAAAUUUUGAUUUGGAAAGUGAACCUGACAAGUACUGACCUUGCUCCUACGUAUCUCCACUUUUGAUGGAGAAUCAAGGAUAAUGUAGUUCUGGCUGAAAGGCUGUUUGUGUUUUGAAAAAUGAUGUUUUGUAUUUUGGAUAUUUUUAUGUAAAAAGAAAAGGUUCUCAGCACGAGGACGAUGCGAGCGAUCACACACGUGCUUAAACCUUCAAAACAAUUUUUAUUGAUUUUUAUAAAAGGAAGAAAAUAUAAAAGGAAGAAAAGGUCUCAGCACGAGGACGAUGCGUGCGAUCGCACACGUGCUUAAACCUUCAAAACAAUUUUUAUUGAUUUUUAUAAAAGGAAGAAAAGGUCUCAGCACGAGGACAAUGCGUGCAAUCACACACGUGCUUAAACCUUUAAAACACAUUUUUUGAUUUUUUUUAAAAAGAGAAAAGAUCUUAGCACGAGACUGAUGCGAAUGAUCACACACAUGCUUAAACCUUUAAAAUGUUUUUUAUUCUUUUAUGAAAAGGGAAAAAGGUCUUAACGCGAGGCUAAUGCAAAUUAUCGCACACACUUAAACCUUUAAAAUAUUUUUUAUUCUUUUAUAAAAGGGAAAAAAAGGUCGAGACUGAUGCGAAUGAUCGCACACCUGCUUAAACCUUUAAAAUAUUUUUUAUUUUAUAAAAAGGAAGAAGAUCUUAGCGCGAGGCUAUGAUCGCACACACACUUAAACCUUUAAAAUAUUUUUGUUUAAUUUAUUUUUAUAUUUUUUUACUUUUUUAUCUUUUAUUUUUGUUUAAUAUUUCUUUAUAAUAUUAAAAUACUAUUUUCAUACAAACGUUUAAAACAAGGUAAUUAUUUUUGCAGAAAGUAUUACACGAAAUACUAAAACUACUUUUUAUAAUUUUAAAUUUAACCUUUAUAAUUUAAAAAAACAAUAUUUAAGGAAAAAAGCAAAAACAAAUUGAAACCUAUAUUUAGAUAUUAAAAGAAAGAUAGCGUCAGGAGCUAUUAUUAAAACAUAGACGCUAUUAGAAACCCUAAUACUAUUUCGUAUAGUUAUGUAAUUUUAUUUUAUCUUUUUUUAUUUUAUCUAUAUUUUUCAUUUUCUCUUAUAUUUUAUCUCUAUGCGGUAAACAAACAAAUAUAAUGAUAAUAAAGACUAAAGAAAAAAACAAAUCAAACAAACGCAUAAAAUAAAACAAAAUAAAAAGCAAAGACAUGGAAUAAAACAAACAAAAUCAACUCAGUGAGAAAGGAACAUAUAUAAAACAUGAAAUAAAACAAACAAAAUAAACUCAGUGAGUAAGGAACAGAUAUAGAAACCAGAGAUGCGCGCCACACAAAGCUCUUUUCCUCUGACAACACCAAUCUUUGCUGAUAUGUAUUGAUGGAAGAUUGCAGUAAAGUUGAAGAUAAGUGNGACAGUCAUCAAAUCAAAUCNGAAUUGCGAACCUCCCAAGCAAAAUAGUGAUAAAAGUAAAUCAUUCUCNCNGAUAGACAAUAGCCUUGACAGUGGCCUCCAAAAGAAAGAAAACNAAUUUCUUCCAACAAAGGAAAUGAAUAAAAAUUCACUCCUCGUAACCCGCGUGCCUGAUGGCUCAAAGUUNAAUGAUAAUUAAAUGUACGUGNUGCACCCCUUCCAGUAAUGAUGNAGCAUACACCACACUUGAAUGCAAUUUCAAAUUAAAGGAAACCUUUGGCCAAAUGCUCAUUCNUAGAAAAUUGAAAANGUUCCUUGUGAAAUGAAGUCAACACAACCUCUUUGNAGCAGAAACGAAUGAGCCAAACUAGAAGGGAAAUGGAUUGAGAUUCCCAAAAAAUCAUCAAGUGNCGNCACNGUAAGUCGCUGCUUUCUCCAAGUAAAGGAGAAUGAAGAUGAAUCACAUAUUUCUCCUCCUUGUAACAUCAGCNGCUGCAUCAACAAGCACCAAAUACUGAACCUUAUUCAGCUUAAGGCUCUUCCCUUUCGACGACCACCACAUCUACACCUCGUGAAAGAGCAUUCNNNUGAGAGAGCACCGGACAAGCCAAUGACCUGGUUGUUGAGCCAGAUCCAGGCGACUGUGNAAAUGGCGAGAGGAGGGUAAACUACCAGUCCAGUUGUUGUAGAGAGGGAAAUUUNUCAAAAGAUGUCGGCUAAGGCAUCGGAAAGAGAAACAGUAGAGAGGUCAAGGUCGAUUAGGUUGGUGGAGGAGGUNAGAUCCGUGGGGAAAGUCCAGGGUGAGAGGAAACGGUUGGAGGUCAGGCUGAGGGUUUGGCGAGGGUUCAGGGCGGCGAAAGGAACAGCUGAAAAGUUGUUGCGNUUGUGGUAGGNCGUCCCGAGGAAGGAGAGUGGAAGAGUGAUGUCUUUUGGCUGAAGGGACCAAGAAAAUCAAAGGAUGUUUGUGAUGUUUGUUGGUUUGGUUAUCAGUGAGUGAGUGAGUGGUGGCGUUGUGUUCAUAGCACGGAGGGAGUGAGGCAGCUGGAGAGAAUGCUGGGGACGUUGGGGAGAGAGUCCUCCAAUUAGGUUCCCUUAGGGUUUUUGAGGUAGGGCAUUGGAUGAGAGGUUUCUACCUUGCGGGUUGGGCGUGAUGGAGGAGCCAAAAUGUAAAAGUUGAACACGUUUUUUCUUUUUUUAUUCCUUUUUUUUCUUUUUUUAAAAAGAAUAUAGAAAAUAAAACUAAAUAAGAUAAAUAAUAAAAAAAAAACUAAAUCCAAAUAAACUAAAAAUUAAAAAUAACAAAACUAAAAUAAAAAAUAAAAUAAAAUAAAAUAAAAUAAAAUAAGACAAAAACAAAAAUAAGUCUUAUUAUUUAGUCAUCCGGACGAAAUUGGGUGUUGACACACGAUACAAGUCAAAAAACAAUAGUGAAGAUAAUGGUCAGAUANAAAAAAAUGGAUCUGCUUUGAAAGUAGUAUGGUACCUUCCAAUAGUGCCCAGACUUAAGCAUUUGUUU